UAACACURACGCUCAUGCACGAAAGCGUGGGGAGCAAACAGGAUUAGAUACCCUGGUAGUCCACGCCCUAAACGAUGCUGACUAGUUGUUCGGGAUUUACAUCCUGAGUAACGUAGCUAACGCGUGAAGUCAGCCGCCUGGGGAGUACGGUCGCAAGAUUAAAACUCAAAGGAAUUGACGGGGACCCGCACAAGCGGUGGAUGAUGUGGAUUAAUUCGAUGCAACGCGAAAAGCCUUACCUACCCUUGACAUGUGACUAACGAAGUAGAGAUACAUUAGGUGCUCGUAAGAGAAAGUCAACACAGGUGCUGCAUGGCUGUCGUCAGCCCGUGUCGUGAGAUGUUGGGUUAAGUCCCGCAACGAGCGCAACCCUUGUCUUUAGUUGCUACGCAAGAGCACUCUAAAGAGACUGCCGGUGACAAACCGGAGGAAGGUGGGGAUGACGUCAAGUCCUCAUGGCCCUUAUGGGUAGGGCUUCACACGUCAUACAAUGGUGCAUACAGAGGGUUGCCAACCCGCGAGGGGGAGCUAAUCUCAGAAAAUGCAUCGUAGUCCGGAUCGUAGUCUGCAACUCGACUACGUGAAGCUGGAAUCGCUAGUAAUCGCGGAUCAGAAUGUCGCGGUGAAUACGUUCCCGGGUCUUGUACACACCGCCCGUCAUACCAUGGGAGUGGGUUUUGCCAGAAGCAGUUAGCCUAACCGCAAGGAGGGCGACUGCCACGGCAGGGUUCAUGACUGGGGUAAAGUCGUAACAAGGUA
RNAcentral lists this ribosomal RNA (759 nucleotides) under uncultured bacterium FukuS129. RNAcentral describes it as "bacterial SSU rRNA". It matches the Rfam family "Bacterial small subunit ribosomal RNA", at positions 735 to 1498 of the family's 1533-position model. The record is from RNAcentral. Lineage: Bacteria; Pseudomonadati; Pseudomonadota; Betaproteobacteria.